AACGCACAUUGCGCCCCUUGGUAUUCCGAGGGGCAUGCCUGUUCGAGCGUCAUUUCACCAAUCAAGCCACGCUUGGUAUUGGGCGCGUGGCCUCUCGUCCGCGAGAGGCCCGCCCGAAAUGCAUCGGCGAGGAAACCGACCCCCGGCGUGUUAGAUUUCUGAACGUCAGGAGCACCGGUGCCCUCCGCCGUACAAUCUUUUUUUUCUAAGGUUGACCUCGGAUCAGGUAGGAAUACCCGCUGAACUUAA
Molecule: unclassified non-coding RNA, 249 nt
Filed under: Dothideomycetes sp.
Lineage: Eukaryota; Fungi; Ascomycota; Dothideomycetes
Also listed under: 2 other names
Description: partial contains 5.8S ribosomal RNA, internal transcribed spacer 2, and large subunit ribosomal RNA
Rfam family: 5.8S ribosomal RNA (bases 1-52)
Source: RNAcentral